UUAGUCUCUUCUUCGGGGCAAGAGAAAGUAUAAAGGCGUGAUAAACAGACCUUGCUCCCAAUCAUUCAAAACGAAGUCCUCCCCAGUACCACCAUACACUCCGAUCAAUGGGCAGCUUACACUGGAUUGGACCAGCUCGGGUAUUCGCACCAGUCUGUCAAUCACAGCGAGAACUUCAUUGAUCCGCAGACUGGCGCACACACACAGACCAUUGAGUCCACGUGGCACCACAUGAAGACGACACUACUCCGCAAUAUGCGAGGUGUUGAGCCUGAGUUACUGGAUUCCUAUUUGGCAGAGCUUUGGGCAAGAAAGUUGUACCGCGACCACGCCGCAUUAUUGGAGAAGCUUUUUGACUGGAUCGUUGAAGCUUAUCCGAUCCGCAAUAUUUAAUUUUUUUAUUUAUCUUUUUUAUUUUGAACAGUUCUUUUCAGAGCUACGAGCCUUCGGGUUCACUUUUAAACAAGUAUUUAUGAAAUAAGAUUAGUUAUUUGCGCUAGUUCACGCAAUAAGACAAGUUACGUAAGGUUCUAUUGUUACGUCAUAGUUGUAUUGUGACGUUAAAAAACGCUUUUUACUUAUAGGUAAACAAUAUGGCGCAUGCAAUUACGGUGACGCAGCAGUUUUUCGCAGAUUUUCAAAGUUAAUUUUCGAUACGAACGCCCGAGUUUUUUUUAAACAAAUUUUCACUGGUCACCAGCGGCAGGAUUACCAAUCUCUUGCUUUCUCAACCGGCUUUUUGAUACCUUUAAAUCACAUUUCAGUGUUUCUACCUUAAUAGAAAAUAUUUUUUAUAAUUGUGUGUAAAUUCUUCGCCGGCCAACAUCUGCUCUCUGCCAGUGCUUUUAUUGCUCAUAGUGUGAAACUCACCUUCAGUACUCACGCUGAUAAAUGUUUUGCAGAAAGAAAAUAAUAUCAGAAAAUAAGAGAUGGGUACCAUAACACCACGUAAGUUAUAUGUGAAUGCCAAUAUCUAAUUUAGUUGAUAACUUACUUUUAUUAUUUCUAGUUCAUGAAAGCUAGACAAGAUGCGAG
Non-coding RNA from Ciona intestinalis (vase tunicate), 1035 nucleotides. The record is from RefSeq and is a predicted model, not a curated record. Lineage: Eukaryota; Metazoa; Chordata; Ascidiacea; Phlebobranchia; Cionidae.